CCCCUAGUAACUGCGAGUGAAGAGGGAAAAGCUCAAAUUUUGAAUCUGGCGGUCCUCGUGGCCGUCCGAGUUGUAAUCUAGAGAAGCGUCUUCCGCGCUGGACCGUGUACAAGUCUCCUGGAAGGGAGCGUCAUAGAGGGUGAGAAUCCCGUCUUUGACACGGACUGCCAGUGCUAUGUGAUGCGCUCUCGAAGAGUCGAGUUGUUUGGGAAUGCAGCUCAAAAUGGGUGGUAAAUUCCAUCUAAAGCUAAAUACAGGCGAGAGACCGAUAGCGAACAAGUACCGUGAGGGAAAGAUGAAAAGAACUUUGGAAAGAGAGUUAAACAGUACGUGAAAUUGCUGAAAGGGAAACGCUUGAUGUCAGUCGCGUCCGCCAGGGAUCAACCUUGCUUCUUCGCUGGGUGCAUUUCUUGGUCGGACGGGUCAGCAUCGGUUUCGAUCGAGGUAGAAUGGNCGAGGGAACGUGGCACCUCUAGGGGUGUGUUAUAGCCCUGGGUCGUAUGCGUCGGUAGGGACCGAGGAACUCGGCACGACCUUCACGGGUCGGUGUCUAGGAUGCUGGCAUAAUGGCCUUAAGCGACCCGUCUUGAAACACGGACCAAGGAGUCUAACAUGCCUGCGAGUGUUCGGGUGGAAAACUCGAGCGCGCAACGAAAGUGAAAGUCGAGAUCUCUGUCGUGAGAGCAUCGACGCCC
Molecule: ribosomal RNA, 695 nt
Filed under: Phylloporus nigrisquamus
Lineage: Eukaryota; Fungi; Basidiomycota; Agaricomycetes; Boletales; Boletaceae
Description: partial large subunit ribosomal RNA
Rfam family: Eukaryotic large subunit ribosomal RNA
Source: RNAcentral